This 253-nucleotide ribosomal RNA is filed under the name uncultured bacterium. RNAcentral's name for it is "partial 16S ribosomal RNA". It matches the Rfam family "Bacterial small subunit ribosomal RNA", at positions 524 to 776 of the family's 1533-position model. The record is from RNAcentral.
GACGGAAGGUGCAAGCGUUGCUCGGAAUUACUGGGCGUAAAGGGCGCGUAGGCGGCCUGCUAAGUCGAACGUGAAAUCCCUGGGCUCAACCCAGGAACUGCGUCCGAUACUGGUUGGCUUGAAUCCGGGAGAGGGAUGUGGAAUUCCAGGUGUAGCGGUGAAAUGCGUAGAUAUCUGGAGGAACACCGGUGGCGAAGGCGACAUCCUGGACCGGUAUUGACGCUGAGGCGCGAAAGCCAGGGGAGCAAACGGG